AUUCUUUUAGUAUCACUUAGUACAAUUGACUUCCAAUCAAUCGGCUUCGGUAUAACCCGAAAAAGAAUA
RNAcentral lists this transfer RNA (69 nucleotides) under Lepilemur edwardsi (Milne-Edwards's sportive lemur). Its description in RNAcentral is "tRNA-Gly". It matches the Rfam family "tRNA". Rfam says of the family: Transfer RNA (tRNA) molecules are approximately 80 nucleotides in length. The record is from RNAcentral. Lineage: Eukaryota; Metazoa; Chordata; Mammalia; Primates; Lepilemuridae. RNAcentral also lists the same sequence under 1 other name.